AUACGGAGGGGGCAAGCGUUAUUCGGAAUUAUUGGGCGUAAAGGGCGCGUAGGCGGCUUGACAAGUCAGGGGUGAAAUCCCUCGGCUCAACCGAGGAACUGCCUCUGAAACUGUUCGGCUUGAGGCCGGGAGAGGGUGGUGGAAUUCCCAGUGUAGCGGUGAAAUGCGUAGAUAUUGGGAGGAACACCAGUGGCGAAGGCGGCCACCUGGACCGGUUCUGACGCUGAGGCGCGAAAGUGUGGGGAGCAAACAGGAUUAGAUACCCCAGUAGUCC
RNAcentral lists this ribosomal RNA (274 nucleotides) under uncultured bacterium. RNAcentral's name for it is "partial 16S ribosomal RNA". It matches the Rfam family "Bacterial small subunit ribosomal RNA", at positions 523 to 796 of the family's 1533-position model. The record is from RNAcentral.